This 253-nucleotide ribosomal RNA is filed under the name uncultured bacterium. RNAcentral describes it as "partial 16S ribosomal RNA". It matches the Rfam family "Bacterial small subunit ribosomal RNA", at positions 524 to 776 of the family's 1533-position model. The record is from RNAcentral.
UACGGGGGGGGUAAGCGUUGUUCGGAAUUACUGGGCGUAAAGGGCGCGUAGGCGGCACUGUUAGUCAGGCGUGAAAGUCCUGGGCUCAACCUGGGAACUGCGCUUGAUACGGCAGAGCUAGAGGAUGGAAGAGGCUCGCGGAAUUCCCAGUGUAGAGGUGAAAUUCGUAGAUAUUGGGAAGAACACCGGUGGCGAAGGCGGCGAGCUGGUCCAUUACUGACGCUGAGGCGCGACAGCGUGGGGAGCAAACGGG